This is a long non-coding RNA of Cryptotermes secundus, 533 nucleotides long. RefSeq lists it as uncharacterized. The transcript is spliced from 2 exons. The record is from RefSeq and is a predicted model, not a curated record. NCBI's taxonomy places the organism in Eukaryota, Metazoa, Arthropoda, Insecta, Blattodea, Kalotermitidae.
UCCAACAUAUACAAUAUUGUCACGUGCAUUUGUGAACGAAGAACGCUAUAGAUCGCUAUAGACGGGGUUUGGAUUGGUCAAUAGAUUUAUUGACCACUCACAGCUCGAAACUAUGGAUCCCUCGUAUAGAUGUUCCAGCAGGCAGAAGAACGUAAAUGGUUUGAUGAAAGGAAAGAGUUCAAGAUUUCUGAUUGAUAGUUGAGGUGAUGGUGUCACAGGGGCAUAAUGCUAGGAACACUGGGCCCAAAGCCCUGCUGCUAAUGGAUGGCCAUCACCAUGGUCAGCCACAUGGAACAAAAGUACUGAAAUCCAGCAGUGGCUGCUAAAUACAUGUCAUGUUCCUUCAAAGAACGCAAUAAACAUCAGUUUCAGUUUCAGUUUAUUGUAAUAUUCCAUCAAUCAAGAACAGACUACAAAUGUCGCCAGUCUAAUAUAGAACCAUUCACAGAUAUACAAUACACCAAAUACUCAAAGAAUAUACUAUGCAUGCUUUGAAUAUUAAAGUGUCAGUCAAACAAUUACAAAUCAAACAA